This 202-nucleotide long non-coding RNA is filed under the name Ananas comosus (pineapple). RNAcentral describes it as "long non-coding RNA (ACOM_LNC007013)". Lineage: Eukaryota; Viridiplantae; Streptophyta; Magnoliopsida; Poales; Bromeliaceae. The record is from RNAcentral.
CGAGUCGACAUAUCCUAGGGGUAUAGAGAUGAAAAGAUUAAUGUAUUGAAUAAAUGAAAAGAACAAGAUGUACUAUACUUGUAAAUAAUGAUGUAGUAGCUUAGAUUGCAUUUGGUUGGAAGUAAAAGAAAAUGUAAUUGAGAUGUAAAAUGCGUAAAUGUGAAUGCUUGUAAUAAAUUAGGAUGUGUUUAUGUUGUUGAUA